This 219-nucleotide long non-coding RNA is filed under the name Manihot esculenta (cassava). Its description in RNAcentral is "long non-coding RNA (MESC_LNC009376)". The record is from RNAcentral. Lineage: Eukaryota; Viridiplantae; Streptophyta; Magnoliopsida; Malpighiales; Euphorbiaceae.
AUAAUUGAGGGCACAAUCAAAGGCCUAAUUGUUCAUAUUAUGUACUAUAUAAACUCUGUAACUUACUACACAAGAGGUAAGAAAAUAAAAACAGUUUUCUUCCUAUAAUCUCAAGAUGUUAUCAGAGCGGGUUUCGGUCUAAAAAUAUAGCCGUCCUGCAAUAAUUCUUUACCAGAUACCUUUCCCAACUUCUUUCUCUCACCAAAAUAACAAUGGCCG